Molecule: long non-coding RNA, 2305 nt
Organism: Salvelinus fontinalis (brook trout)
Lineage: Eukaryota; Metazoa; Chordata; Actinopteri; Salmoniformes; Salmonidae
Exons: 2
Source: RefSeq, a predicted model, not a curated record
AAGGCUUUUCUUAUUAGUACAGGAUUAGAUAGGAGGGUUGAAGGUAACAUAUGGAAUUGUAAUAAAAUGGUCAUACAUGGACCAUUUAGCUAUUUUAUUUAGAAUUUUAAAACCCCUUUAGGUAUAAAAAUGUUUUAUAUUACUUGAUGAAAUAUUGAAUUUGGUUUUUACUACUAUAGCCCAUAGAAACGCAUUGAAUAACACAUUCAUAAAUGGCAAAAAAGACAGUCAAAAAAUGUAUCAUAAGGAAGAAGGUUUUGAAGUGUCUGUCGUAUAUCUAGGAGAUAUAAGAAAGCUCAGGAAAUAUUUUUGUAUUUUUGUUGGAACAAAAAACCUUCCUCCAUCCUUCCAUUCGUUUGUAUAGGCAACCUUCAGACCAGUCCUGGGACACCUAUUGGUGUCGGACGCUACAAAUGUUUUCGGGAUGUCUUGGGGUCUGACAAACAUCGCUGUAGCUCCACCACCUUCCACCGCAGAGGCAGAAGGCCGACUGUGGCAGAGAGUAGGCCAGAAGGCUAAACUAAAAAACCUUAAAUGGAAUGUAAGCCUACUUAAACAAAAUAUCCGAUGGCGGAUGUCACGCCCUGGCCUUAGUUAUCUUUGUUUUCUUUAUUAUUUUAGUUAGGUCAGGGUGUGACAUGGGGGAGUGUUUGUGUGUUUUGUCUAGUCUAGGGUGUUUGUAUUGUCUAGGGGGUUUUGGUAGAGUUCAUGGGGUUGUGUUCAGUGUAGGUGUUUAUGUAAGUCUAUGGUUGCCUGGAUUGGUUCUCAAUUAGAGACAGCUGUCUAUCGUUGUCUCUGAUUGGGAGCCAUAUUUUAGGCAGCCAUAGGCAUUAGGUAGGUUGUGGGUAAUUGUCUAUGUUUUGACAUUAGUUGCUUGUGUCUGCACUUUCGUUUGAUAGCUUCACGGUCGUUUGUUGUUUUAUCUAGUUUGUAUUAGUGUUCGUGUUCGUUUCUUCUUCUAUUAAAAAGAAGAUGUAUUUAUAUCACGCUGCGCCUUGGUCCUCUCUUUCACCUAACAACGACCGUGACAGCGGAGCCGCAAAAGCACAUCUGUGCAAGGGUGUUUACUUACAUAGUGAUUCCCCCAAAAAACAGUACUGCCCCAAAAGUAUAGACAUAAAUGAUGGGGCCAGGUAGUGCUGCCCCGUCAAUGUAUCAAUGGAAAAAUCCCCCUUUUGAACUGAUAGAGGGGCUCCUUAUGUAGGGGGAAGCCCCUCCCAUCAGAACAAUGAAUUAAUCAAGGCAUAACUCAUUAUAGCACUUAAUAUAUUAAUAUAACACAUUUACAUAACUCCACCGCUACUGACAUGGUGUCUUACAAUACACACAUUCACAUGGACUCGCAAUUCAGGACAUGCACUACAAAGCCAGCCCGAUUGCAGUAGCUCGGGUCCUUAUUCUAGCAUACCCGGAAGCUACAUAGACGGAGAGAGAGGGACAGAAACAAACGGAGCGCUCAUCCAAAACAUUGAUAAGUACAAUAAUCACUUAAAUUAAACAUGAAAGCUUGUCUGUGUAUUCUUUAUACCAUACCAACCUGCUAAUGAAGUAUCUCUUAGGUUCUUCCAAGGAUCACUUGGGGGGGAUUGCCAUCACCACAGCCUAACUCCCACAGCCUGAGGAUGAUGUCUACAACCCUAACUCCCACAACCUGAGGAUGAUGUCUACAACCCUAACUCCCACAGCCUGAGGAUGAUGUCUACAACCCUAACUCCCACAACCUGAGGAUGAUGUCUACAACCCUAACUCCCACAGCCUGAGGAUGAUGUCCACAACCCUAACUCCCACAGCCUGAGGAUGAUGUCCACAACCCUAACUCCCACAGCCUGAGGAUGAUGUCUACAACCCUAACUCCCACAGCCUGAGGAUGAUGUCUACAACCCUAACUCCCACAACCUGAGGAUGAUGUCUACAACCCUAACUCCCACAGCCUGAGGAUGAUGUCUACAACCCUAACUCCCACAACCUGAGGAUGAUGUCUACAACCCUAACUCCCACAACCUGAGGAUGAUGUCUACAACCCUAACUCCCACAGCCUGAGGAUGAUGUCUACAACCCUAACUCCCACAACCUGAGGAUGAUGUCUACAACCCUAACUCCCACAGCCUGAGGAUGAUGUCUACAACCCUAACUCCCACAGCCUAAGGAUGAUGUCUACCAGCCUAAGGAUGAUGUCUACCAGCCCGAGGAUGAUGUCUACAACCCUAACUCUACAGAGUCCACGCACGGCAUCCGGUUCACUCUCCUCUUCCUGAAUCCUCAUUCUCACAUUCCUUACAUUUCCUCAAUAAAUAUUCAAAACCCA